AGAACGAACGCUGGCGGCAUGCCUAACACAUGCAAGUCGAACGUGAUCCAGGCUUCGGCCUGGUGAAAGUGGCAGACGGGUGAGUAACGCGUGGGAACCUGCCCUGUGGUAGGGAAUAACCGUGGGAAACUGCGGCUAAUACCCUAUGAGUCCUUCGGGAGAAAGAUUUAUCGCCAUAGGAGGGGCCCGCGUCGGAUUAGGUAGUUGGUGGGGUAACGGCCUACCAAGCCUUCGAUCCGUAGCUGGUCUGAGAGGAUGAUCAGCCACACUGGGACUGAGAUACGGCCCAGACUCCUACGGGAGGCAGCAGUGGGGAAUAUUGGACAAUGGGGACAACCCUGAUCCAGCAAUGCCGCGUGGAUGAUGAAGGCCUUCGGGUUGUAAAGUCCUUUCGGCGGGGAAGAUGAUGACGGUACCGCAGAAGAAGCCCCGGCUAACUUCGCGCCAGCAGCCGC
Molecule: ribosomal RNA, 455 nt
Filed under: uncultured bacterium
Lineage: Bacteria
Description: SSU rRNA
Rfam family: Bacterial small subunit ribosomal RNA
Source: RNAcentral